RNAcentral lists this transfer RNA (72 nucleotides) under Lactobacillaceae bacterium. RNAcentral describes it as "tRNA-Gln". It matches the Rfam family "tRNA". From Rfam's summary of the family: Transfer RNA (tRNA) molecules are approximately 80 nucleotides in length. The record is from RNAcentral. Lineage: Bacteria; Bacillati; Bacillota; Bacilli; Lactobacillales; Lactobacillaceae.
UGGGUAUUCGCCAAGCGGUAAGGCAAUAGUUUCUGAUACUAUCAUGCACUGGUUCGAAUCCAGUAUACCCAG